Long non-coding RNA from Sitodiplosis mosellana (orange wheat blossom midge), 2915 nucleotides. RefSeq lists it as uncharacterized. The record is from RefSeq and is a predicted model, not a curated record. NCBI's taxonomy places the organism in Eukaryota, Metazoa, Arthropoda, Insecta, Diptera, Cecidomyiidae. The transcript is spliced from 2 exons.
UUCUCACUUUGCUCUUUCACAUUUUUACCUUUGCAAUCGAUCCAUAUUUCUCGUUCGCAUAAGUUUUCUAGAGGCAACAGAUUGGUUGCCAAACGGUGUAUGCUCGCUCGUAGUCGCUGUGUUUCGCUUGAAAUCGACAUUAAUUUUGGCACUCAUUGGCAGUCGAAGUUUCGUUUUUUUUCCCUUCCAUUCUCCAAAACCCAAUUGAAUGAGCUGCAAAUUGAAAUGACAUUGAGCAAAGACAAAUAUAUAUAUAUUUUCAAUACACUUUUCACAGAAUGCAUUAUUCUCAUUUGGUUUGGCGCAUUGAGUAUAGAAUCAACAUGGUUUUUGUGUCCCAUAAUUGAUACACAAUAAUGGCUAUAUAUAUACAUAACUGACACUUAUUUCAUUUCAGGUGUUAGCUGAGAUUCGGUGCUGUAUACAUUUCAAAAUCAUCACACACACACACAACAAAUUGUACACACUAAAAUGCCAUUCGGCAGCAUGUCAGUACAAAACGAAAGCGACAAAUCUUUGUGAAAUUGGCUUAUAAAACGUUCAUCGACAACGAUAGGAAUGAGGCAAAAUUUGAGUAAAUAUCGUAUCGUCAUUCAUAUCGGCCACCAAUGUGAACAAGAACGAGAGAAAAAAAAAGAGAGAGAGAGAGAGAGAGAACGAAACGAAACGAUAGGUGAUUGAAAACCAUUAGCGCAUAUGGUGCAUCACGUCACUAUGAAUCGUACACUCAAAGCACGGAGACACGAAGUGCAAAGGCGUUACUCACAGUUUGAACAUUGUUGAGAUAUGUAUUGCGCUUUAAGUUGGAACAUAUAAAUAAAUAAAUAACAAAGGGAGAGAGAGAGAAGGCAAAAGAAGAUGAAGCGAAAAGACGCUAUAGCAAAUACGCCUUUUGUGCUUGUUUCACUCUCUAGUGCACACACAAAACGAACGUAAAUAUUAAAUUCAUGCCAUGGACAAAGUUUGGAAGUGUAAAAAAAUGAGUGGUAAAACCUCAUAUAACACACAAAACAACCAAAGUGAUAUUAUUUAUGUACUUGAGCAUGGCACAAUGUCGUAGUUCAUUUUAAAAGCGAAUUGUACGGCAAAUGCCUUACAAUAUUGAUGCGACUGCAUCACAUUGAACCGCAUCCCAUAAAUUUUCCUUUGCCUUUCUCUCGCAACCAGCGACAAUUUCACUCUCACUGUGUGCAAUUGAGCAAAGGAAUGGAAAAGAGAAGAAGAAAUGACAACACACGAUGCCAUUGUAGUAUACAUAAAACGAAUCAAUGGGAUGUGUAAGCCCACAAAUUUGAAAUGCAAGUGCGACGAAUUCUCGCAAACCCACCGUAAUAAAUCAUAAAGCCCGAAUCUCUCUCUGCCACUCUCUGUGUGUGUGCUUACUGAAGUGUGGGCGCGUAACGAGCAAAUAUAUAUACAUAUUUGUGCUUAGGCGCGAAACGUUCAAUUACAAACAAUAUACGCGAGAUAAUGUCAAUGGGAACUGGGCCAAUGGGAUUGUUGUUGUAGUUGCUUCUGUCGAUACUAAACUUUAGUUUACUAAACAUCGAUGCCACAUUUUACAUAGACAAACAUAUGUUAAGAUCAUGUAAGACGGCUCCAUUAGCUCCAUAAACACAAAACAAUACUUCAACGUCAAAUUCAGAGUUGCUGUGUGAACUACGCAUUUCGUUCAAUUUGGCUUACGUUUUUGAUUGGUUCAUUUGUCCUUGGAUGUGGUAAAGAGUACCCACGCCAUACACACAUACUCUUUCUCUAUUACAUGCUCUGGAAUUGAUCUGGACAAUCAUAGCCAGAGAUGUUGUGUAUUCUCUCCGUUGUUUUCUUGUUUAGCAAUGUCGUAAGUUCAUCUGUCACUAUCACCGAAAGUGUUGUGUGUCGGCGAGACAUAGCGUCUCAAGUGGUGCACAGAGCCAAAGUGGGAAAUUGUGCGUUGUUUUCUUGAUGAACUUACCACAGUUCAAACAAACACUUAUCAACAGCAUGAGUGUCACACCACCGUACUCUUUACUUACGUGUGUGUGUGUGCUUGUGUUUGCGACAACAAACCACAGAUGUUUUGUCAAUGUGUUUUCAGUAUAGCCGGUAGCUAUAUUCAACCGUCAACCAACAACCAGGACAGGGAGCAACGAAGACGAUGGUGAUGACGACGACGAUGACGACGACGACGAUACAGCAAAGCCGUAAAGUUGUUCACAUUCAGACGAAUGAAGUGCUUUCACAAAGUGCGUUCAUGCCGUGGGAAAUAUCAAAUUUCUCGUGCAUUCACUCGCUGUCGCUGCCUUUUGGCCGGAUGGAAAUGAGUGUUCGUCGAUUGUGCAGACAAUUGGGUUUGCGCGUUUCGGCUAAUAAGAAAUUAUGCGAUGGAAAAGAUUAUUCGCUUGGCUUCCAUACAUACACAAUCGCCUUUCACAUCGACGAGAGAGAGAGAGAGUUCUAAAUUUCAUGAAAUUAUGGCAUCGCUUAUGCACUUUAACUUCUUAUGAAGUCGUUAUGAAUAAGCUUAUUUAAGCGCUAUACCGUAAGUCUAGUGUUCAAACACUUUUCAGCCCCUAUUUACAUAGUUUUACGAGGUUUCCCAUCACUUCAACACAAAACUUUAUCAAAUUAAAUGCACACAAUCUCUCUCUUACUCUCUCUUACUCGUUCGCUCGAAGGUACUUAAAUUACAAAAUGGACUGACUGAGCGACGAACUCUUUUCUUUCUUUUAGAUUUCCUUUUCCUCGUGUUCGCUUUGCUUUUCAUUCUUUAAAAUGAUCUGGAAAGUGUCUGUUUAUCUGGAUCAAGGAAAUUGCCUCUUUUAAACAACAAUAUCUCAAGUAGUCUGAAUGUCGGUGCCUUAUGAAUAAAGCUACUUAUAAACAUGUACUGAACACACUACUCGAAAAUAAACUUAACAGUUACUAAAAAAAAA